Molecule: unclassified non-coding RNA, 670 nt
Filed under: Zea mays
Lineage: Eukaryota; Viridiplantae; Streptophyta; Magnoliopsida; Poales; Poaceae
Description: misc RNA Zm00001eb140170
Source: RNAcentral
CUCUCUUCUCCUUUCUCCCCCAGGCACCUUCUUCCUCCUUGCGCAGGGCGGCAGCAGCCACCAGCGAGCCCUGCUCCAUGGGCGUCACCCCUCACCUUCUUCCUCCCCACGGCUGCAGCUCUUCCACUCCUCCCUCACGCCAGCAGCAGCCCCCUGUUCAUGGCUGCCAGCCCUUGCUCCCCUUUUGCCCCACUGCGCAGCAGCUCUGCGCUCCACCUCCCAUGGACGCCCAGAAAUUCCAGCAGCAAGGACUCCAUAGCAGCAGCAGCUUGACCCUCUGCUCCCAGCCAUGGCGCCCAAAAAAAAAUCCCCUAGCCGAGCCACCUCUCCCAGCCAGCGCCCCUGUUCCCUUGCUCCUUCUCCCUCGCACAGCAGCAGCUCGCCCCACCUUCCCUCGCUGCGCAGCUCCUCGGCGAAACGCCGCUGUUCCUGCAAGCCCCGGCUUCCUCGCUGCUACCGCUGCGCGCAUGCCAAGUGCUCGGCAUAAUGUCAAGGGAGAUGUGUUGUUGCAGCACGUUGUGACGCUCCCCGGGUGUUCACUGUUUUUGGCGCAGACCCGCUCGCGACAUCGUCGACCCUCGCCACCGUCAAAAUCACGCUCCGCGUUUGGCCGUUCGACGAAAUGCCAAGCCUUAUGGACAGCCCAUGUGACUAGCCUCGAUUCGUCCAG